AAGUCGAACGAUCUUAUUGAGUUUUUUGGCUUCGGUCAGAAGACUUGAUUUGAUAGUGGCAAAAGGGUGAGUAAUGGGUGGAUAAUCUACCUUCGAGUCUGGGAUAACAUCUCGAAAGGGAUGCUAAUACCGGAUAAGACCACGACCCCGCAUGGGGUUGAGGUAAAAGAUGGGGACCGUAAGGCCUAUCACUUGAGGAUGAGUCCGCUUCCUAUCAGCUUGUUGGUGGGGUAAUGGCCUACCAAGGCAACUACGGGUAGCUGGUCUGAGAGGAUGGUCAGCCACACUGGGACUGAGACACUGCCCAGACUCCUACGGGAGGCUGCAGUCGAGAAUCUUUCGCAAUGGACGCAAGUCUGACGAUGCGACGCCGCGUGAGUGAUGAAGGUCUUCGGAUCGUAAAGCUCUGUCAAGUGGGACGAACGUCCUGAAGGUGAAUAACCUGAUGGGCUGACUGUACCGCUAGAGGAAGCCAUGGCUAACUCCGUGCCAGCAGCCGCGGUAAUACGGGGAUGGCAAACGUUGUUCGGAUUCAUUGGGUGUAAAGGGUAUGUAGGUGGCCUUGUAAGUCGAGUGUGAAAUCCUUUGGCUUAACCAAAGAACUGCACUCGAAACUGCUGGGCUUGAGUUUCGAAGAGGAGAGUGGAAUUCCUAGUGUAAGAGUGAAAUCUGUAGAUAUUAGGAGGAACACCAG
RNAcentral lists this ribosomal RNA (694 nucleotides) under uncultured bacterium. RNAcentral's name for it is "bacterial SSU rRNA". It matches the Rfam family "Bacterial small subunit ribosomal RNA", at positions 59 to 712 of the family's 1533-position model. The record is from RNAcentral.